This 396-nucleotide long non-coding RNA is filed under the name Mytilus galloprovincialis (Mediterranean mussel). The record is from RNAcentral. Lineage: Eukaryota; Metazoa; Mollusca; Bivalvia; Mytilida; Mytilidae.
CUUGCAUGUGGAAAUUCAUUCACUACUAGAUAUUAUGCAUCAGUUUGAUAUAUAUACAUGUUACAUGUACAUGUACAAUCAGUGGCGGAUCCAGAAAUUUUCAUAAGUGGGGGCCUGUCGACUGCCUAAGAGGGGGCCCGCUCCGGUCAUGCUUCAGUGAUUCCCUAUAUAAGCAACCAAAUUUUUCCCAGAAAAGGGGGGAAAAAAUCUGCCUCUGACAAUGUCCAAAUGACGUACUAUAGUAUACUAAUCUAUACUUUAUAUCUAGAUGUAGUCAUUUUUUGUCAAUCAUGUGAAUAGUCCACAAAAAAUGAAUAAUUAUUUCAGAAUAUUUUUACCCAUAUCUAUUAUUUUUUAGAUAAAGCCAAAAAAUUUCUAGAUCUAUAUGAAAUGGCC